GCAAAAUCGGCUAGAGUCCGUUAAUAACUUGAAAUUAUUAUUCAUUACUUAUUAUAAGUAAAUUUUGUU
RNAcentral lists this transfer RNA (69 nucleotides) under Pseudorhabdosynochus yangjiangensis. RNAcentral describes it as "tRNA-Ser". The record is from RNAcentral. Lineage: Eukaryota; Metazoa; Platyhelminthes; Monogenea; Dactylogyridea; Diplectanidae.